Molecule: ribosomal RNA, 333 nt
Filed under: uncultured Streptococcus sp.
Lineage: Bacteria; Bacillati; Bacillota; Bacilli; Lactobacillales; Streptococcaceae
Description: bacterial SSU rRNA
Rfam family: Bacterial small subunit ribosomal RNA
Source: RNAcentral
GUCGUCAGCUCGUGUCGUGAGGAUGUUGGGUUAAGUCCCGCAACGAGCGCAACCCCUAUUGUUAGUUGCCAUCAUUCAGUUGGGCACUCUAGCGAGACUGCCGGUAAUAAACCGGAGGAAGGUGGGGGAUGACGUCAAAUCAUCAUGCCCCUUAUGACCUGGGCUACACACGUGCUACAAUGGUUGGUACAACGAGUUGCGAGUCGGUGACGGCGAGCUAAUCUCUUAAAGCCAAUCUCAGUUCGGAUUGUAGGCUGCAACUCGCCUACAUGAAGUCCGGAAUCGCUAGUAAUCGCGGAUCAGCACGCCGCGGUGAAUACGUUCUCGGGCCUU